GCUACGGGGGGCAGCAGUGAGGAAUAUUGGUCAAUGGGCGCGAGCCUGAACCAGCCAAGUAGCGUGAAGGAUGACUGCCCUACGGGUUGUACACUUCUUUUAUAAAGGAAUAAAGUGAGGUACGUGUGUCUUGUUGUAUGUACUUUAUGAAUCAGGAUCGGCUAACUCCGUGCCAGCAGCCGCGGUAAUACGGAGGAUUCGAGCGUUAUCCGGAUUUAUUGGGUUUAAAGGGGGCGUAGAGGGUUGGUUAAGUCCGAAGUGAAAGUUUGGGGCUCAACCGUUGAAUUGCAUUUGAUACUGGCAGGCUGGAGUGCAGUUGAGGUAGGCGGAAUUCAGGGUGUAGCGGUGAAAUGCGUAGAUAUCACGAAGAACACCGAUUGCGAAGGCAGCUUACUGAACUGCAACUGACGUUGAGGCUCGAAAGUGUGGGUAUCAAACAGGAUUAGAUACCCUUGUAGUC
Molecule: ribosomal RNA, 460 nt
Filed under: uncultured bacterium
Lineage: Bacteria
Description: partial 16S ribosomal RNA
Rfam family: Bacterial small subunit ribosomal RNA
Source: RNAcentral